UACGAAGGGGGCUAGCGUUGCUCGGAAUCACUGGGCGUAAAGGGUGCGUAGGCGGGUCUUUAAGUCAGGGGGGAAAUCCUGGAGCUCAACUCCAGAACUGCCUUUGAUACUGAAGAUCUUGAGUUCGGGAGAGGUGAGUGGAACUGCGAGUGUAGAGGUGAAAUUCGUAGAUAUUGGGAAGAACACCAGUGGCGAAGGCGGCUCACUGGCCCGUAACUGACGCUGAGGUGCGAAAGCGUGGGGAGCAAACAGG
RNAcentral lists this ribosomal RNA (253 nucleotides) under uncultured bacterium. RNAcentral describes it as "partial 16S ribosomal RNA". It matches the Rfam family "Bacterial small subunit ribosomal RNA", at positions 524 to 776 of the family's 1533-position model. The record is from RNAcentral.